Odobenus rosmarus divergens (Pacific walrus) is the source of this 607-nucleotide RNA transcript. It is a transcript of the gene named 60S ribosomal protein L11-like, with no coding region annotated. NCBI's taxonomy places the organism in Eukaryota, Metazoa, Chordata, Mammalia, Carnivora, Odobenidae. The transcript has a single exon. The record is from RefSeq and is a predicted model, not a curated record.
AUGAAAGAGAAUGCAGAAAAUAAGAUAAUUAGAAAGAAGAAGCCCAUGCGGGAACUUCGCAUCUGCAAGCUCUGCCUCAACAUCGGUGUGGGGGAGAGCGGAGACAGACGGACCCGGGCAGCCGAGGUGCUGCAGCAGCUCACAGGCCAGACGCUCGUGUUCUCCAAAGCUGGAUACAUGGUUAGAUCCUUUGGCAUCAGGAGAAAUGAAAAGAUUGCUGUCCACUGCACAGUCCGUGGGGCCAAGGCAGAAGAAAUCCCGGAAAAAGGUCUAAGGGUGCGAGAGUAUGAGUUAAGAAAAAAAUAACUUCUCUGAUACUGGAAACUUUGGCUUUGGGAUCCAGGAGCACAUCGAUCUGGGGGUCAAAUAUGACCCUAGCAUUGGUAUCUACGGCCUGGACUUCUAUGUAGUGCGGGGUAGGCCAGGUUUCAGCAUCGCAGACAAGAAGCGCAGGACAGGCUGCACUGGGGCCAAACACAGAAUCAGCAAAAAGGAGGCCAUGCACUGGUUCCAGCAGAAGUAUGAUGGGAUCAUCCUUCCUGGCAAAUAAAUUCCCGUUUCUUUCCAAAAGGCCAAUAAAAACUUUUCAGUGAAAUGUAAAAAAAAA